This 1769-nucleotide ribosomal RNA is filed under the name human gut metagenome. RNAcentral's name for it is "bacterial LSU rRNA". It matches the Rfam family "Bacterial large subunit ribosomal RNA", at positions 1069 to 2925 of the family's 2925-position model. The record is from RNAcentral.
AAGGAUGUGGAAUUGCAUAGACAACCAGGAUGUUGGCUUAGAAGCAGCCACUCAUUAAAAGAGUGCGUAAUAGCUCACUGGUCGAGUGAUUCUGCGCCGAAAAUUUAACGGGGCUAAACUAUACACCGAAGCUUAGGAUACCGCAAGGUAUGGUAGGAGAGCGUUCUGUACGGAGUGAAGUCGUAGCGAAAGCGGCGGUGGACUGUACAGAAGUGAGAAUGCCGGAAUAAGUAGCGAGAAUUAAGUGAGAAUCUUAAUGGCCGAAAGUCUAAGGUUUUUGGAGGAAGGUUCGUCCGCUCCAAGUAAGUCGGGAGCUAAGGUCAGGCCGAAAGGCGUAGCCGAUGCACAAACGGUUGAUAUUCCGUUACCGUCUACAAUUUAAACAAAGGGACACAUACAAAGCGUUUAACCCGGGCGAUGGUUGACCCGGGCGCAAGGGACUGAAAUAAGAGUAGGGAAGUAAAUGUGGCGUAUGGCGAGAAAAGCUUUGUGAAUAGAAGUAGACGCCCGUACCGCAAACCGACACAGGUGGACAGGAAGAGAAUUCUAAGGCCAGCGGGAGAAGGGUAGUUAAGGAACUCGGCAAAUUGACUCCGUAACUUCGGAAUAAGGAGUGCUCGAAAGAGCCGCAGAGAAUAGGCCCAGGCGACUGUUUAGCAAAAACACAGGUCUCUGCCAAAUCGAAAGAUGAAGUAUAGGGGCUGACACCUGCCCGGUGCCGGAAGGUUAAGAGGAGGAGUGCAAGCUCCGAAUUGAAGCCCCGGUAAACGGCGGCCGUAACUAUAACGGUCCUAAGGUAGCGAAAUUCCUUGUCGGGUAAGUUCCGACCCGCACGAAUGGUGUAACGAUCUGGGCACUGUCUCAACUACCCACCCGGCGAAAUUGUAGUACCGGUGAAGAUGCCGGUUACCUGCGGCAAGACGGAAAGACCCCAUGGAGCUUUACUGUAGCCUGAUAUUGGGUUUCGGAAAUCUAUGUACAGGAUAGGCGGGAGACUGGGAAGUAUGAGCGUCAGCUUAUACGGAGUCAUUGUUGGGAUACCGCCCUUAGGUUUCUGGAAUUCUAACCUGCGACCGUGAAUCCGGUCGGGGGACAUUGUCAGGUGGGCAGUUUGACUGGGGCGGUCGCCUCCGAAAAGGUAACGGAGGCGCUCAAAGGUUGGCUCAGCACGGACGGAAACCGUGCCUCAGAGUGUAAACGCAAAAGCCAGCCUAACUGCGAGGAUGACGGUCCGAGCAGUAACGAAAGUUGGAGUUAGUGAUCCGGCGGUAUGUGAAUGGAAAUGCCGUCGCUCAACGGAUAAAAGCUACCCUGGGGAUAACAGGCUGAUCUCCCCCAAGAGUCCACAUCGACGGGGAGGUUUGGCACCUCGAUGUCGGCUCAUCACAUCCUGGGGCUGUAUUCGGUCCCAAGGGUUCGGCUGUUCGCCGAUUAAAGUGGUACGCGAGCUGGGUUCAGAACGUCGCGAGACAGUUCGGUCCCUAUCUGUCGUGGGCGCAGGAUAUUUGAGGAGCUCUGUCCUUAGUACGAGAGGACCGGGAUGGACGUACCUCUGGUGCACCAGUUGUCAUGCCAAUGGCACGGCUGGGCAGCUACGUACGGAACGGAUAAACGCUGAAAGCAUCUAAGCGUGAAGCCGACUCCAAGAUUAGAUAUCCCAUUGCAUAAGCAAGUAAGACCCCUUGAGGACUACGAGGUUGAUAGGCUGCGUGUGUAAGUGUCGUGAGGCAUUUAGCUUGGCAGUACUAAUAGGUCGAGGGCUUGACCAC